CAGCAGACACAUUCCAGCCUAUCAGCAGCAGACCCUCCCUCCCAUACCCUCCCACCUCCUGGACAGCUCACUAAGAAUGCAGCUUAAAAAUGGAUGCUGUCCAGGAGGUGGGAGAGUCUGGGAGGGAGGGUCUGCUGCUGAUUGGCUGGAAUGUGUCUGCUG
This 162-nucleotide microRNA precursor is filed under the name Pelobates cultripes (western spadefoot toad). Lineage: Eukaryota; Metazoa; Chordata; Amphibia; Anura; Pelobatidae. The record is from RNAcentral.